GAACCUACCGAUUGAAUGGUUCGGUGAAAAUCUCGGACUGCGGCUUGGAUGCCUUCGGGCAACCAAGCUGUGGAAAGUUGUUUAAACCUCAUCAUUUAGAGGAAGGUGAAGUCGUAACAAGGUUUCCGUAGGUGAACCUGCAGAAGGAUCAUGAUCGUAAUAGCGUCGUUUAGGUCAAUAGUGUAGAUCUCGGUGUUCUCCUUAUCAUUCAAAAACUACUCUUUUUUUCUUUCCUUCUUCUUCUCUUUUUCUUUUUUCUUUUCUUCUUUUUUUUCUU
RNAcentral lists this unclassified non-coding RNA (277 nucleotides) under sea anemone metagenome. Its description in RNAcentral is "partial contains small subunit ribosomal RNA and internal transcribed spacer 1". The stretch from base 1 to 154 matches the Rfam family "Eukaryotic small subunit ribosomal RNA", at positions 1678 to 1831 of the family's 1831-position model. The record is from RNAcentral.